AUAUGCCGAGAGGUGAAAUGAAUUUCGCCUGAGGAUGAGCCCGCGUCUGAUUAGCUAGUUGGUGAGGUAAGAGCUCACCAAGGCAUCGAUCAGUAGCUGGUCUGAGAGGAUGAUCAGCCACACUGGGACUGAGACACGGCCCAGACUCCUACGGGAGGCAGCAGUGGGGAAUUUUCCGCAAUGGGCGAAAGCCUGACGGAGCAACGCCGCGUGAGGGAUGAAGGCCUCUGGGCUGUAAACCUCUUUUAUCAAGGAAGAAGAUCUGACGGUACUUGAUGAAUAAGCCACGGCUAAUUCC
This 298-nucleotide ribosomal RNA is filed under the name uncultured cyanobacterium. RNAcentral describes it as "partial 16S ribosomal RNA". It matches the Rfam family "Bacterial small subunit ribosomal RNA", at positions 188 to 504 of the family's 1533-position model. Lineage: Bacteria; Bacillati; Cyanobacteriota. The record is from RNAcentral.